Non-coding RNA from Scatophagus argus, 928 nucleotides. The record is from the annotation of a RefSeq genome assembly. NCBI's taxonomy places the organism in Eukaryota, Metazoa, Chordata, Actinopteri, Scatophagidae.
UUCAGUAACACAAACAGCAUAUUUUUCAGUUUCCUCUGCUGGUGUAGAGAUUUUCUACUUAUGAAAAUGUGUCUGUGUCACAUGUUCCCUUUCUAAACCAGCAGAGGGCGUUUAUGCAAACUCUUCCUCUCUUAUAAACACACCAUCAGGAACUUGUGGCACAUCACUGCGACACUUUGACACAUUUUCAGAAACACUCAGCUCAGAGAGCAGUGAACUGCUGUGUUUAUCACAGAAUGGAAAAUAUAAUUAUCUGGAGUUUAUUAUUUGUAGUUACUGUUCAUGGAGUUUGGAGUGAGAUCAGACUGGACCAGACUCCCUCUGAGGUGAAAAGACCUGGAGACACAGUGAAGAUGUCAUGUAUCAUAUCUGGGUUUGACAUGACAAGCUACUAUAUUCACUGGAUAAGACAGAGACCAGGGAGAGCUCUGGAGUGGAUUGGGAGGAUGGAUGCAGGUUCAAACUCUGCUAUCUAUGCCAGCUCCUUUCAAAGUGGUUUCGUCAUGACUGAAGACGUGUCCAGCAGCACUCAGUACCUCGAGGUCAAGAGCCUGACAGCAGAAGAUUCUGCCGUUUACUUCUGUGCUCGACAGACACAGUGACUGAAGACAGUGGAGCAGCUGCACAAAAACCUCCACAGACAACAAACAAAAUGUUUCAUGAAAAUGACCCCUUAGAGAAAACAGCUGGACACUUCAUACCAAUUGUGUAGUUCAGUGGUUUUUCCAGGUGUCACAUGUAAUGUUUCAUUGUUGAAAAAGUUCAUUUUACAUAUAUUAUUUGAUUCCAACAGACCUUUUGUUGUGCAGUACAGCAAAUAGUAUUUGACACAGGUUUCAUUUCCGAAGUAGUUUGUUUCCUCUAAAGGCUCCAAGUGUCUGUGGCUUCAGAUAUCCAGUUUGAACAAUGAAACCUUUAACCCUCUGAA